Molecule: long non-coding RNA, 870 nt
Organism: Macadamia integrifolia
Lineage: Eukaryota; Viridiplantae; Streptophyta; Magnoliopsida; Proteales; Proteaceae
Exons: 3
Source: RefSeq, a predicted model, not a curated record
GGAGCAUCUGUAGGUAAACUCUUCUCUCUUCUUCUCCUCUGUUCGCGUACUCGUUUCUUCUCCUCUCUUCUUCUCCUCUGUUCGCGUACUCGUUUCUUCUCCUCUCUUCUUCUCCUCUGUUCGCCUUGUUCUCUCUUUUUCUCCUUUAUUCGCUUCUCUCUUCUUCUCCUCUAUUCCAACAAUUGUGAAAGUUCUGAUAAAAAUCCCUUUUACCCAUCUUUCUUCUUUACCCACUGAAGACUUGUUGCGGAAAACCAAGGUACUAACCACCAAGGGCCAUCUUCCUCCUUCCCUUUCACUCUGACCAUACUCCUCUCUUCAAUAACCUCCACCACCGAAGGCCAAUCAUCAAGAUCUCACAGAACUAUUCAGCUGCCGACGUUCCAAAAUGAGUGAAAGGACUGCCAUCGCUGCAAGCCCUUGAGGUUUUCUUCUUUAACUUGAGCAACUAAGGACGAGCCGAGGGAAGUGUAGGUCUUCUUCGUCAAGCAUCUGCAUCAAGGAUCGUUUGCUUCAUCUUUUCCAGCCAUUUCUCUUCAAAAUGUAACAGAUCAUGGGGUGGUUGGAUUCAUGAGCCAUGAGAGAUUUCCUGAUAAAGGGCAGAAGUGGAUGAGGGUGCAAGAGAGUGAGUGUUUGAGCUAGGGAAGGAGAGAGUGACUAUAUUGAGCUAGUUGGAAGUUUCUGUGCUUGAUGAUUUGCUAUUGUGGAUGAAGGUGCAAGAGAGUGAGCAUUUCUUUUUAGGAAAUGAUGUGUGUUCAGUAAUAUAUGUAACUGAUGAUCAUUUUUACUGUUGGAUGGCCAAUUGUUAAUAUGGAACUGAUCAAAUCUUCAAAGAACCAUUUAUCUUCAAUUUCAGAUUCUGACAAGUAU